AGUGAACGCUGGCGGUAGGCCUAACACAUGCAAGUCGAACGGCAGCACAGUAAGAGCUUGCUCUUACGGGUGGCGAGUGGCGGACGGGUGAGGAAUCCAUCGGAAUCUACUUUUUCGUGGGGGAUAACGUAGGGAAACUUACGCUAAUACCGCAUACGACCUACGGGUGAAAUCAUGGGAUCUUCGGACCUUGCGCGAUUGAAUGGGCCGAUGUCGGAUUCGCUAGUUGGCGGGGUAAAGGCCCACCAAGGCGACGAUCCGUAGCUGGUCUGAGAGGAUGAUCAGCCACACUGGAACUGAGACACGGUCCAGACUCCUACGGGAGGCAGCAGUGGGGAAUAUUGGACAAUGGGCGCAAGCCUGAUCCAGCCAUACCGCGUGGGUGAAGAAGGCCUUCGGGUUGUAAAGCCCUUUUGUUGGGAAAGAAAAGCAGCAGGUUAAUACCCCGCUGUUCUGACGGUACCCAAAGAAUAAGCACCGGCUAACUUCGUG
RNAcentral lists this ribosomal RNA (492 nucleotides) under uncultured bacterium. Its description in RNAcentral is "partial 16S ribosomal RNA". It matches the Rfam family "Bacterial small subunit ribosomal RNA", at positions 29 to 507 of the family's 1533-position model. The record is from RNAcentral.